AACCCAUGGUGAGGGCACCGUCUCAAUAGAUCCUUGUAUCCCUCCUAUGCAUCAUACAAAGUCUCCAAAUUGAUCUGCACAAAAGAGGAGAUGUCAUUCCUCAACUU
Non-coding RNA from Gossypium raimondii (Peruvian cotton), 107 nucleotides. The record is from Rfam. NCBI's taxonomy places the organism in Eukaryota, Viridiplantae, Streptophyta, Magnoliopsida, Malvales, Malvaceae.